This 301-nucleotide ribosomal RNA is filed under the name uncultured bacterium. RNAcentral's name for it is "bacterial SSU rRNA". It matches the Rfam family "Bacterial small subunit ribosomal RNA", at positions 505 to 805 of the family's 1533-position model. The record is from RNAcentral.
GUGGCAGCCGCCGCGGUAAUACGUAGGGUGCGAGCGUUAAUCGGAAUUACUGGGCGUAAAGCGUGCGCAGGCGGUUUUGUAAGACAGAUGUGAAAUCCCCGGGCUUAACCUGGGAACUGCGUUCUGAACUGGGUGACUAGAGUGUGUCAGAGGGAGGUAGAAUUCCACGUGUAGCAGUGAAAUGCGUAGAGAUGUGGAGGAAUACCGAUGGCGAAGGCAGCCUCCUGGGAUAACACUGACGUUCAUGCUCGAAAGCGUGGGUAGCAAACAGGAUUAGAUACCCUGGUAGUCCACGCCCUAA